AAAAACCCAAUUCACUUGUACACCACCUUAGAGAGAACAUAAAGAAAGAGCCUAACGAGAAAAAUGCAAUCGGCGAAACAGAAGCUAAGCGAUAUGGCUAGUACCGCUAAGGAGAGGAUGGUGGCGGAGCAGGCAAUGGCACGUACAAAAGAGGAAAAAGAGAUAGCACACCAACGUCGAAAGGCCAAGGAAGCAGAGGCUAACAUGAAUAUGCACAUGGCUAAGGUUGCUCAUGCCGAAGAAAAGCUUAUGGCUAAGCAAUCUCACUACCACCUUUCUCAAGGUCACGUGACUCAUGGCGCCCCUGUGCCGGCUCCUGCGCCAGUUAUAGGACAUGGUUACCGGCACAAUUCUCCCGGGGUCAAAUCUGUACCACCCGCGGCGUACCUUCCUCCUCCGACGGGACCUCAUCAUCAUCAUCCUUAUGGAAAUGUUUAGUGACUUCUUUAUAAGUUAAAAAAAAAAAAACUGGAAUACUUUGAAUUGUUAGUAAGACGUUGAGAUGACUUACUUUAUAAACGUUUUAAUUACUGAAGUUAUCUCAUAAUUAGGAGUGAGCGCGGAACCUGAAGUUCGUAACUUCAGAUUUGGGUUCGUGUCUAGAUAAUUUUUUACCCGAUUUGGGCCCGCUUAGUUGUAAGUAACAAAAAUAAUUAAAUUGAAAAACAACUAAUAUAAUUAAAAUAAUAUCACAUAAUACAAUAAUCUUUGUAAUACGUACCAUUUGAAGAAGUGAUUUACCAACCAGCAGCAUCGUUGACAAAAAAAAAAAAAACCAGCAAACCUCCAUUUUUGAUAAUCAAUGAUUUUGAUAAAAUAUGACAACUAAUCAAAAAUUUUAACUUAUAUCUCCUGUACAAUGUGGAGGGUUUAUAGUGGAUCCGGGCUCAUGAUAGGCCGAGCUUUCUACGGGCCAGGCAGCAGGCUGAGUAAUAGUAACCCUAAUUAUUAAUUAACAAUUUAACAUCUAAAAGUAAAAACGCUAACCUAGGGAUACCGGUUCUUUCCUAAAUUUUACUUUAACCGGGUUGGCAAGUCUAAACCGUCGCUUAACCGGCUUUCUUAUCUUAGCCUGUAAUUAUAAAACCGCUCCUCCACUCAACGAACUCUAUUAGGGUAAAGCGGUACGCCGUUUACAUUGUUACUCACGAAACAGAGCUCUGGAUCCAUCUCAAUAAGCUCGAGCAAGAAUCGAUCCAUUGAGAUUGCGAAGAAAGAAACUUCAUAAUCUGAAAAGGUGGGAUGGAAAAGGAUCUCAGGGUAUUUGGAUCCGGUUAAGUAUAUAACAAAAUGUUUAUGCAGAUAUCAUUUACUCUCUCUCUUUCUUGAUUUAUCUUUUCUUGAGAAGUUGCUGAAGAUUGUUUUAUGAGAGUAUUAUAAGUCACCGCAUUUGGUAAUCAAGUGUUGCUUUCCCAAACGAAGUGACUUAUAAAGAUCUCAUGAUUAAUCGAUUUUUUGCAAGGUCUUGAAGAGAGUAAAGGACCAUGAUGUCCUGAGUGAAAAUGGAUUUAUCUUUCUUUUUUUUUGUCUUAUAAUGUGCCAGGUCUCUUUGUGUGUUACUGUCCACUCUUUCUUUUUGUCUGGGUGAUAACAAGAUAAAUCCCAAGCAUCAUCCACCUUAUUAGCUUUGACAUAAACGAAGGCUUGUAAAAUGGAAGAUUCUUGGGAUUUAUCUUUUUGUAGUCUCCUCUUCUAAAAGAGUAAUGUCAACAUACACGGAAAUGAUUUCAAAUUCUAAAAGUGUUGCUUAAUGUUACAACAUACACGACAAUGAUUUCAGGCUUGUGGAGGAACAUGAUGCUUCUGUUUAUGGAUUUGUAAGCCAGAAACUUGAUAUUUGCUAAAGAAGUGUUAACCGUUUGCAUGUGUUAUAACUGAGUGUUUACACCCACUUUAUGUAUAAAUGGAAUAAGGUUGCUUUCCCCCAUCA
Molecule: long non-coding RNA, 1930 nt
Organism: Brassica napus (rape)
Lineage: Eukaryota; Viridiplantae; Streptophyta; Magnoliopsida; Brassicales; Brassicaceae
Exons: 3
Source: RefSeq, a predicted model, not a curated record